GCAAUAUUCCAGCAAUAUCACGGCGGGGAACACCAGAAAGGGGCUUCACACACUGUACCCAUGUGGGGAAUCGAAACCGGGUCUUCGGCGUGACGAGAGGAGGCUUUAGCCACUAGGUGAACCCACCGCCCCCGAAA
This is a long non-coding RNA of Haliotis rubra (blacklip abalone), 137 nucleotides long. RefSeq lists it as uncharacterized. NCBI's taxonomy places the organism in Eukaryota, Metazoa, Mollusca, Gastropoda, Lepetellida, Haliotidae. The transcript has 2 exons. The record is from RefSeq and is a predicted model, not a curated record.